RNAcentral lists this ribosomal RNA (253 nucleotides) under uncultured bacterium. RNAcentral describes it as "partial 16S ribosomal RNA". It matches the Rfam family "Bacterial small subunit ribosomal RNA", at positions 524 to 776 of the family's 1533-position model. The record is from RNAcentral.
UACGUAGGGUCCGAGCGUUGUCCGGAAUUACUGGGCGUAAAGAGCUCGUAGGUGGUUUGUCGCGUUGUUCGUGAAAGCUCACAGCUCAACUGUGGGCGUGCGGGCGAUACGGGCAGACUGGAGUACUGCAGGGGAGACUGGAAUUCCUGGUGUAGCGGUGAAAUGCGCAGAUAUCAGGAAGAACACCCGUGGCGAAGGCGGCUCUCUGGGACGGUACUGACACUGAGACGCGAAAGCGUGGGGAGCGAACAGG